UUGACCUCGAAUCAGGUAGGAAUACCCGCUGAACUUAAGCAUAUCAAUAAGCGGAGGAAAAGAAACCAACCGGGAUUACCUCAGUAACGGCGAGUGAAGCGGUAACAGCUCAAAUUUGAAAUCUGGCUCUUCCGGAGUCCGAGUUGUAAUUUGUAGAAGAUGCUUUGGGUUGUGGGUUCGGCCUAAGUUCCUUGGAACAGGACGUCAUAGAGGGUGAGAAUCCCGUAUGUGGCCGAGGCCCGCGCCUAUGUAAAGCUCUUUCAACGAGUCGAGUUGUUUGGGAAUGCAGCUCAAAAUGGGUGGUAAAUUUCAUCUAAAGCUAAAUAUGGGCCAGAGACCGAUAGCGCACAAGUAGAGUGAUCGAAAGAUGAAAAGCACUUUGGAAAGAGAGUUAAACAGUACGUGAAAUUGUUGAAAGGGAAGCGCUUGCAACCAGACUUGGGCGCUGUCGAUCACCCCGAGUUCUCUCGAGUGCACUCGACAGCGCACAGGCCAGCAUCGGUUCGGGUGGCUGGAUAAAGGCCGUAGGAACGUGGCUCCCUUCGGGGAGUGUUAUAGCCUACGGUGCCAUGCAGCCCAGCCGGACCGAGGACCGCGCCUUCGGGCUAGGAUGCUGGCGUAAUGGUUGUAAGCGACCCGUCUUGAAACACGGACCAAGGAGUCUAACAUCUAUGCGAGUGUUUGGGUGGUAAACCCAUACGCGGAAUGAAAGUGAACGUAGGUGA
RNAcentral lists this ribosomal RNA (725 nucleotides) under Erysiphe alphitoides. RNAcentral's name for it is "eukaryotic LSU rRNA". It matches the Rfam family "Eukaryotic large subunit ribosomal RNA", at positions 1 to 738 of the family's 3401-position model. Lineage: Eukaryota; Fungi; Ascomycota; Leotiomycetes; Helotiales; Erysiphaceae. RNAcentral also lists the same sequence under 1 other name. The record is from RNAcentral.